This 365-nucleotide long non-coding RNA is filed under the name Taeniopygia guttata (zebra finch). Its description in RNAcentral is "lncRNA (ENSTGUG00000022187.1)". Lineage: Eukaryota; Metazoa; Chordata; Aves; Passeriformes; Estrildidae. The record is from RNAcentral.
UGUAAAUUUAUUCCUGUUAACUAAAAGGCAACAGAAAACUAAUGGCAUUUUAUCUUUCUUUGUCUUUAUAGAGGGGAUAAUGUGGGAUUUCUAAGAAUGAAGACUGGAAAAAUCCUAGUAGAUCAAUCAGUGGAGCAGAGUAUUGUGAACUCCAGUGCAAAGACCCACAAGCUGCAAAUCUAUAUCAAAAAGAAGACUGUGCACAGAAUCAUGUCAGCAAAUACGUGGAAGGGGAAGAUAACUAUUUGGAUAGCCACAAGACUAAGAGCAGGAUCAGGCAGAUGUCCUUCCUCUUUUCUUCAGUUGUUGGCAGCUAUGUGAAGGAUUUCCUUACUGGAUUUUUAAUAUUUAUUAAAGAAAUUGUG